UUUUAAUAGUUAAACAUAUCAAAGCUUUGUACACGUUACGCCUAUUAUAUUCUAGUUAAUGUUACAUCAGCAAAAGUUACUAUAAUUUCUCAAUAUUUGGGAAAAUUGUGAACUUCGCAAAUAUUCCAACGAGAAAAUACGAAUGACUAUGUCAAAGACGUCAACAAAAGAAAAUAUACGCCCUUCCCCCUUGAAAAUCAUUUUUACAGCAAAAAGAAUAUUCAACGGU
RNAcentral lists this long non-coding RNA (229 nucleotides) under Mytilus galloprovincialis (Mediterranean mussel). The record is from RNAcentral. Lineage: Eukaryota; Metazoa; Mollusca; Bivalvia; Mytilida; Mytilidae.